RNAcentral lists this ribosomal RNA (497 nucleotides) under uncultured bacterium. RNAcentral describes it as "partial 16S ribosomal RNA". It matches the Rfam family "Bacterial small subunit ribosomal RNA", at positions 28 to 507 of the family's 1533-position model. The record is from RNAcentral.
GAUGAACGCUGGCGGUGUGCCUAAUACAUGCAAGUCGAGCGAACGGACGAGAAGCUUGCUCCUCUGAUGUUAGCGGCGGACGGGUGAGUAACACGUGGAUAACCUACCUAUAAGACUGGGAUAACUUCGGGAAACCGGAGCUAAUACCGGAUAAUAUUUUGAACCGCAUGGUUCAAAAGUGAAAGACGGUUUUGCUGUCACUUAUAGAUGGAUCCGCGCUGCAUUAGCUAGUUGGUAAGGUAACGGCUUACCAAGGCAACGAUGCAUAGCCGACCUGAGAGGGUGAUCGGCCACACUGGAACUGAGACACGGUCCAGACUCCUACGGGAGGCAGCAGUAGGGAAUCUUCCGCAAUGGGCGAAAGCCUGACGGAGCAACGCCGCGUGAGUGAUGAAGGUCUUCGGAUCGUAAAACUCUGUUAUUAGGGAAGAACAAAUGUGUAAGUAACUGUGCACAUCUUGACGGUACCUAAUCAGAAAGCCACGGCUAACUACGUG